RNAcentral lists this long non-coding RNA (323 nucleotides) under Eucalyptus grandis. RNAcentral's name for it is "long non-coding RNA (EGRA_LNC004085)". Lineage: Eukaryota; Viridiplantae; Streptophyta; Magnoliopsida; Myrtales; Myrtaceae. The record is from RNAcentral.
GCUCGACCCCGGCGACGGCCGACUGGGUCGUGCGACCCAGGCGGCCAGAUCCGGCCAUCCGGCGCCGGAUCCGGCUGUCCGGCCGCCGGAUCCGGCGGUCCGGUGGCCGGAUUUCAAAAAAAUAAAAGACAAAUGUUUUUUUGUUUUUUUAAUUUAAUCAAAGUCCUUUGCAAAUGUAAAUUUUACCAAACGGUAUUUUGGCCAAAGUUGCAUCUCAAUGAAAAUUUUACCAAACGAUAUUUGCAUUUCGGAAAACCCCAUUCACCCAAAGGUAUUUGCAUUUUGGCAAAUGCAUCCCCCCAAAGCCGAACCAAACGGGCCCA